This 450-nucleotide ribosomal RNA is filed under the name uncultured bacterium. Its description in RNAcentral is "partial 16S ribosomal RNA". It matches the Rfam family "Bacterial small subunit ribosomal RNA", at positions 354 to 796 of the family's 1533-position model. The record is from RNAcentral.
GUGGGGAAUCUUCCGCAAUGGACGAAAGUCUGACGGAGCAACGCCGCGUGAGUGAAGAAGGUUUUCGGAUCGUAAAGCUCUUUCGUUAGGGACGAACGUGCUCUUUGUGAAUAAUGAGGAGUAAUGACGGUACCUAAAUAAGAAGCCACGGCUAACUACGUGCCAGCAGCCGCGGUAAUACGUAGGUGGCAAGCGUUGUCCGGAAUUAUUGGGCGUAAAGCGCGCGCAGGCGGGAUAUCAAGUCUGUCUUAAAAGUGCGAGGCUCAACCUCGUGAGGGGAAAGAAACUGGUAUUCUUGAGUGUCGGAGAGGAAAGUGGAAUUCCAAGUGUAGCGGUGAAAUGCGUAGAGAUUUGGAAGAACACCAGUGGCGAAGGCGACUUUCUGGACGAUGUCUGACGCUGAGGCGCGAAAGCUAGGGGAGCGAACGGGAUUAGAAACCCCGGUAGUCC